GGAAAGAUGGCAGAGUGGUUUAUUGCAAUAAAUUACUAAUUUAUCUAUAUAAAAACAUAUAUCAAGGGUUCAAAUCCCUUUCUUUCCA
RNAcentral lists this transfer RNA (88 nucleotides) under Spumella sp. NIES-1846. RNAcentral's name for it is "tRNA-Ser". It matches the Rfam family "tRNA". Rfam says of the family: Transfer RNA (tRNA) molecules are approximately 80 nucleotides in length. Their secondary structure includes four short double-helical elements and three loops (D, anti-codon, and T loops). Lineage: Eukaryota; Chrysophyceae; Chromulinales; Chromulinaceae. The record is from RNAcentral.